GGCUUUUACAAAUUACAAGGGAACGACGGGUCGGCUUCCAUGGAAUUUGUUUGUAAUGUUUUGAAGGUUGGUUCCGGGUUGUCAUUCCUGAAGUUUAAUCCAGCAUACGAUUUUUGAGGUUUGAAAUAUUUUUGAAGGUUUGUUGAGGUUUGGCUUGGGAUUGACUUGUGCGAGACUACAAACGGUGUUGAUGCUGCGAUGGCUAGUCAAUAUUUACUACAUCUUACACUGUUAGCGGUGGAUGUCUUGGCUCACACAACGAUGAAGGACGCAGCGAAUUGCGAUAAGCAUUGUGACUUGCAGACUUCUGCGAAUCAACAGAUUUCUGAACGUAUUAGACACACCACCUCUGCUUGCACGUGGUACUCCCAUUUCAGUGAACCUUAUUUUCUAACAAACAACCACUCUGCAAUUUUGAUUGCACAUCGUAUAUAAUACGUGGCUGUUUUGUUGUGAGUAGUGGCCUUUGCGGUCAUUAUUUUUAGCAAAACUUGUGUCUGUGUGCACGGCCACUGUUUCAGUGGUGUGGAACUUUUGAUGUAACUUGUUACUCGUGUUUUGCUUGGUGUACAUGUUCACAUAGUUUAGCAACCUAUUCUUUUAUAUGUUUUGGUAGAAUCCAAUGCUUUAAUAGGUUUGGGGAACCUAUCCAUUCUUUAUGAUUGAGAAGCAUCCCAUUCUAUUUAUGACAAGUGUGUGAUAUUCGCCAGAAAUAUAACAAGAUUGGGUUUAUUAUUUAGUUCCUGAGAUUGGGUGAGACUAUCCACUGAAUUUAAACAUAUAACUAAGU
Molecule: ribosomal RNA, 790 nt
Filed under: Theileria sp. buffeli/orientalis group
Lineage: Eukaryota; Apicomplexa; Aconoidasida; Piroplasmida; Theileriidae
Description: eukaryotic LSU rRNA
Rfam family: 5.8S ribosomal RNA (bases 227-382)
Source: RNAcentral